RNAcentral lists this ribosomal RNA (301 nucleotides) under uncultured bacterium. Its description in RNAcentral is "partial 16S ribosomal RNA". It matches the Rfam family "Bacterial small subunit ribosomal RNA", at positions 509 to 809 of the family's 1533-position model. The record is from RNAcentral.
CAGUCGCCGCGGUAAUACGAAGGGGGCUAGCGUUGUUCGGAUUUACUGGGCGUAAAGGGCGCGUAGGCGGACUGAUAAGUCAGGGGUGAAAUCCCAAGGCUCAACCUUGGAACUGCCUUUGAUACUGUUUGUCUUGAGUUCGAGAGAGGUAAGUGGAACUGCGAGUGUAGAGGUGAAAUUCGUAGAUAUUCGCAAGAACACCAGUGGCGAAGGCGGCUUACUGGCUCGAAACUGACGCUGAGGCGCGAAAGCGUGGGGAGCAUACAGGAUUAGAUACCCCCGUAGUCCCUGUCUCUUAUAA